AUGAACGCUGGCGGCGUGCCUAAUACAUGCAAGUCGAGCGAACAGACGAGGAGCUUGCUCCUUUGACGUUAGCGGCGGACGGGUGAGUAACACGUAGGUAACCUACCUAUAAGACUGGGAUAACUUCGGGAAACCGGAGCUAAUACCGGAUAAUAUUUCGAACCGCAUGGUUCGAUAGUGAAAGAUGGCUUUGCUAUCACUUAUAGAUGGACCUGCGCCGUAUUAGCUAGUUGGUAAGGUAACGGCUUACCAAGGCAACGAUACGUAGCCGACCUGAGAGGGUGAUCGGCCACACUGGAACUGAGACACGGUCCAGACCCCUACGGGAGGCAGCAGUAGGGAAUCUUCCGCAAUGGGCGAAAGCCUGACGGGGCAACGCCGCGUGAGUGAUGAAGGUCUUCGGAUCGUAAAACUCUGUUAUUAGGGAAGAACAAACGUGUAAGUAACAGUGCACGUCUUGACGGAACCUAAUCAGAAAGCCACGGCUAACUACGU
RNAcentral lists this ribosomal RNA (495 nucleotides) under uncultured bacterium. Its description in RNAcentral is "partial 16S ribosomal RNA". It matches the Rfam family "Bacterial small subunit ribosomal RNA", at positions 29 to 506 of the family's 1533-position model. The record is from RNAcentral.